GAUAAAUCUUAAAGUUUUACAAAGAUACAAAGAAUGGUUAAGACUGCUUUCCUGAUUCCUACAGCAAAAAAAAACUAUAAAAUGCUGGUGGCAAUAUUUUAAAGAGUGCACCUGAUCGAAAAGAAGGUGAAUGAUGUCAACUGUUCGAACAUUCAAUUUUUGGAAAUUAACAAGUGGAAGAAGAAGUUUACAAAAUUGUAAUUUAUAAAACUCAGCACAAUUAUAUUAUUAAAAAAUUUAAACG
Molecule: long non-coding RNA, 244 nt
Organism: Hydra vulgaris (swiftwater hydra)
Lineage: Eukaryota; Metazoa; Cnidaria; Hydrozoa; Anthoathecata; Hydridae
Source: RefSeq, a predicted model, not a curated record